UUGAGCCGUCACACGGAAUCG
Molecule: small nuclear RNA, 21 nt
Filed under: Arabidopsis thaliana (thale cress)
Lineage: Eukaryota; Viridiplantae; Streptophyta; Magnoliopsida; Brassicales; Brassicaceae
Description: snRNA_19050
Source: RNAcentral